AGUGAACGCUGGCGGUAGGCCUAACACAUGCAAGUCGAACGGCAGCACAGUAAGAGCUUGCUCUUACGGGUGGCGAGUGGCGGACGGGUGAGGAAUACAUCGGAAUCUACUUUUUCGUGGGGGAUAACGUAGGGAAACUUACGCUAAUACCGCAUACGACCUACGGGUGAAAGCAGGGGAUCUUCGGACCUUGCGCGAUUGAAUGAGCCGAUGUCGGAUUAGCUAGUUGGCGGGGUAAAGGCCCACCAAGGCGACGAUCCGUAGCUGGUCUGAGAGGAUGAUCAGCCACACUGGAACUGAGACACGGUCCAGACUCCUACAGGAGGCAGAAGUGGGGAAUAUUGGACAAUGGGCGCAAGCCUGAUCCAGCCAUACCGCGUGGGUGAAGAAGGCCUUCGGGUUGUAAAGCCCUUUUGUUGGGAAAGAAAAGCAGCAGGUUAAUACCCCGCUGUUCUGACGGUACCCAAAGAAUAAGCACCGGCUAACUUCGUG
RNAcentral lists this ribosomal RNA (492 nucleotides) under uncultured bacterium. RNAcentral's name for it is "partial 16S ribosomal RNA". It matches the Rfam family "Bacterial small subunit ribosomal RNA", at positions 29 to 507 of the family's 1533-position model. The record is from RNAcentral.